This 75-nucleotide transfer RNA is filed under the name Minisyncoccota bacterium. RNAcentral describes it as "tRNA-Ala". It matches the Rfam family "tRNA". From Rfam's summary of the family: Transfer RNA (tRNA) molecules are approximately 80 nucleotides in length. Their secondary structure includes four short double-helical elements and three loops (D, anti-codon, and T loops). The record is from RNAcentral. Lineage: Bacteria; Bacillati; Minisyncoccota.
GGGGCUGUAGCUCAAUGGGAGAGCACCUGCCUUGCACGUAGGGGGUUGCUAGUUCGAAUCUAGUCAGCUCCACCA